GACGUAGGGCGCGAGCGUUGUCCGGAUUUAUUGGGCGUAAAGAGCUCGUAGGCGGCUUGUCACGUCGACUGUGAAAACCCGAGGCUCAACCUCGGGCCUGCAGUCGAUACGGGCAGGCUAGAGUUCGGUAGGGGAGACUGGAAUUCCUGGCGUAGCGGUGAAAUGCGCAGAUAUCAGGAGGAACACCGGUGGCGAAGGCGGGUCUCUGGGCCGAUAUUGACGCUGAGGAGCGAAAGCGUGGGGAGCGAACAGG
This 253-nucleotide ribosomal RNA is filed under the name uncultured bacterium. RNAcentral describes it as "partial 16S ribosomal RNA". It matches the Rfam family "Bacterial small subunit ribosomal RNA", at positions 524 to 776 of the family's 1533-position model. The record is from RNAcentral.